GAUGAACGCUGGCGGCAUGCCUAAGACAUGCAAGUCGAACGAGGGGACCCAAGGAUGAUUAUGGAAAGUUGGAGUGCUUGCACAAAGACCGGAAAUAGUUUGAUCUGGAUUUUCCCCUAGUGGCAAACGGGUGAGUAACACGUGGGUUACCUACCUCUAAGUUGGGGAUAACAGUUGGAAACGAUUGCUAAAUACCGAAUGUACUCUACGGAGUAAAGGAGCUUUAAAGCUUCGCUUAGAGAUGGGCCUGCGGUGUAUUAGCUAGUUGGUGAGGUAAUGGCCCACCAAGGCUGCGAUACAUAGCCGAACUGAGAGGUUAAUCGGCCACAUUGGGACUGAGACACGGCCCAAACUCCUACGGGAGACAGCAGUUAGGAAUAUUCGUCAAUGGGGGAAACCCUGAACGAGCGAUAGCCGCGUGAGUGAUGACAGCCCUUUGGGUUGUAAAACUCUGUUGUUUGGGAAGAACAGAGAGAAUAGGAAAUGAUUCUCUUUGACGGUACAUUCAAGAAAGCUCCGGCUAACUACG
RNAcentral lists this ribosomal RNA (529 nucleotides) under uncultured bacterium. Its description in RNAcentral is "bacterial SSU rRNA". It matches the Rfam family "Bacterial small subunit ribosomal RNA", at positions 28 to 505 of the family's 1533-position model. The record is from RNAcentral.